Hypanus sabinus (Atlantic stingray) is the source of this 4810-nucleotide long non-coding RNA. RefSeq lists it as uncharacterized. The transcript is spliced from 5 exons. The record is from RefSeq and is a predicted model, not a curated record. Lineage: Eukaryota; Metazoa; Chordata; Chondrichthyes; Myliobatiformes; Dasyatidae.
CAAGCUAGCUCUUUCAGGUUCCAUGGUUCAAUGUUUGCAAGUACUCAAUCUCAGGGUGCCAUUAUCUGAUGUAUAGGCUUCCCCUGGGAGCAUGGGAGUAUAAUCUGACAGAUGCAAGACUAAAGUACUCUCUGUGUGAAUGUGUGACUGCAUGUGUGACCGUGUGUGUGUGAGGCUGUGCACGAGAGAGGGGAGUGUGUCUGUGUGGAAGCAUUUGUGAGAGACUCUAAGUGUGUGACUGUGUGUGAGAGUGUGCGUAUUUAUUCGUGUUGUGUGUAAGAUUGUGAGAUAAUGUGUCUGUGUAACUUUGAGCAUGUGUGUGCGUGCAAAUGUUUGUCAGAGAAUGUAAGUGUGCAACGGUGUAUGAGAGUGCGUGCGUAUAGGCAUGUUGUGUGUAAGACUGUGAGAUGUGUGUGUGACUGAGAAUAUGUGACCAUGUGAGAGAGUCCGUGUGAUACUGUAUGAGUGUGUAUGUGUGAAAGAGUGCUUGUGUAUGGGUGAGUGUGUAUAUGUAAGUGCAUAUAUGAUUGUGUGGAAGUGUGUGUGAGUAUCACUGUGUUCAAAUGUGUGGGAUGUGUGUAAGCGCAUAACUGUGCAUGAAUAUGAUUCUGCGUGCACAAAUUGAGUCUGUGCAUGUAUGUGUGUGUAUGGAUGUGUGGGUGUGUUUAUGUGUGAGUAUGGGUGUGACUGUGUUGAACUGUGUGAAUGGUGGUAGGGUCAGAUUGUGUUCUAUUUUGUAACUCCAAAACAUAAAACUAAAUGAGAGAAAAACACAGAGCCGGGGAUAACUCAUGUACAAUUAGUUUUUUACUUUAGUGAGGCACUCACUUCUGAUGUGGUGGUGUAAUGAUGUUUAUCAUUCAUGCACAUCUUACAUAUAACCCAUAAUGAAUUAUGUAAAGCAAGAAUGCAUAAUCAAACAGCCUGGCUGGUGAGUUGUGGUGUGUGUUGCAUGGUGAUAGGCAGGGACUAAAUUGUUAGGCUUCUGAUUCAAUGUCUGUGUAGUGUGUUUCUGCUGACAUUGUUCGCAGUGCGUUCUCUAGAAUGGACAAACUUUUCUGACAAGCCAUUUGCAGCUGGGUUGUCUGGUGCAGAUUAAAUAUGCCUUAUUCCAUUAAUUUCUAGGAAUGACUGAAACUGUUCCAUAACAAACUGUGGUCCAAUGUCACUGAGUGUUCUGGAACACCAGCCUUGAAAAGAGGCUUCUCAGCACAUCAGCAGUGUGCAAGGUUGUAGUGGAGGCUAACAGGAACUCUUCUGGUCACUUUAUAUUUACAUCCACCACUACCAAAAAAUGUUUGCUCAGGAAUGGUCCAGCAAAAUCCAUAUGAGUUCUCUGUCAGGGUAAUGUAGGCCAUUCGCAGGAAGGGAGAAGUGCUGUUCUUGGCAUCUUCUAGAAGUGUUGGCACCCAAAACAUUACAUGGUGAGCUGCUCGAUCUGCUCCCAGGCCACCAGACAAAGCUUUGACCCAAUGCUUUUAUUUUGACCAAGCCUAGAUGACUGGCAUGUAGCUCCUCUAACACUUUAGCUCUCAGUUAAACUCUCAAUCCCCUCAUAAGGCAACUCCAGUCAAGGGUACGUUCAUCGUGAUGCUGGAAUAAAUGGGGGGAGUUGGCAUUUCUGCUGCAUAUUGCAGACAUUUUGAGUGGCAAUGUAUACCUGAGAUGGUGUGGGGUAUUUUCUGGCUUUCCUUUUGGAUCAUCUCUGCCAUAUUAGUGAGACUUUCAAUUUGCAUUAGGCAGAAUAUGACAAGAGGAGUGUCCUCCUUGUAAAUUUUUCAGGUAUUUCCUUUUCCAAAGGUAAUUAGGACACUCCAUCAGCAAUUCCAUGAUUAGCUAACCUCUUAAAUUCAAUAUGUAAUUGUGUCCUCCAAGAAACAGAGCCCAUCUCUGCAUUCAUGCUGCUGCUGUUAGUGGAACUCCCUUCUGUGGACUGAAAAUGGACAAUCAUGGUUAAUAAUCAAUAACAAAGCUGUAAGAAAACGUGAUGCAAAGGCUAUGGGGUGUUCACUUCCAUCACUCAUGACUGCACGUAAGGCAAGAUCUCAUUGGCUGCACCCAAGUUUAUACUCCAGAGGGAAAGCAACCUCUCUUUGACCUGAAACAUCUCCCUGUGGAUGUACUGCUGUGCUGUAAAUGAUCUCCUGACAGCUGGCAGUGUUUGAUGUAUUGUCCGCCUGAGAUAAUCAAAGAGAAGCCUUGUGCAUUGAAGGUGUUUCUCCUUGGAGCUAAAAACAAAAAAUGCUGAAACAGAGAGUCAGGCAGCACCUGCGGAGAGAGGAACUGUUAACGUUUCAGUGAGGUAUCUGACAACUGUGUGUGUCAGUGAGUGUCUCUUGGGAUUGAGCGAGCUGUUGAACUGAGGAGUAUACUCAUGUCCUGAUGAAGGUAUGAAGUAUUCUGAAGAGCAGGUAAUGUCAUCCAUUACCAGAUUUUGGCUGGUUAUUUUUCUGCAAACUGCAAUCUACAGUAAGGACAGCUAUAACGCUUCUAUCAAUUGGACUCUCUGGAAGUUAUCUUAUUUGAAGAGGGGAUAGCAUUGCAGUAUAACAUUUUUAUGACAAGGGUCCUAGGGCACAAAGUGUGGUGAACUACAUAUACCUGUCUGGACACACCCCCUGCUGACUGCUCCUGUGGCCACUCCCACUGACCAUAGCUCCUCCCACAGACCCCAUAUAAAGGCGAUUGAGGCCUGAGCCCGGCCCUCAGUCUUCAGGAUGUAGUAUGGUGGUCAAUUACUGCUUGUUCUUUCUUCCAGUCAAUAAAAGCCAAUAUCUUGCCUUCACGUCUCAGAGAGAGUUAUUGAUGGUGCAUCACAAAGGUAACAGAAAGUCCAGUGCAGGUGUGGCUGUGAGUGCUGCAUUUUCCAAGUUCUUCUGCGCUAAUCAUAAUUGGGUCAAUAUGUUGGGCCUAACAUAGAUGCUCUGAAAUGCUGGGGCCUAGAAACUGCUCAUCCUUUCAAGAGAUACAUUUAAUGAUAAAUGACCUUGAUUUUGCAAUUCAAUCUUCCCGACACUCUGAAAAUAUUUGAUGUUGCAAUGUUCACCGAGCUUGGCAAUUAGCUUGCAGACAUUUCAUCACCAGUUGAAAUGAUAUCCUCAGUGUGUAGUUGUUGGUAUUUCUCUCUGGGAGUGCUCUUGUACAUAUAGUACCCCUUUCCCCACACCAUUUGCUUGCCUCAGUCCUGAUAGGCUAUCCCUUCAGUUGGACCUUUGAAUUCUAUUGGCCCGCAUUUCUUUGCCUCUUAGGGGUUCAUAGACGACGUCUAUUUCAGUAUGUUUGUUUACGGAGCUAUCAGGAGAGAACCACGCUUCUAAAAAUUCUCGUGCCUGCCUUAUGUUUGCCAGCAUGAGAACCUCUGUAGUGUCUCAGUUAAAGUGACGUCCUUCUCAGUCUUCACAUACCAAGAUCAGUGACAGUGGAUCAUAUCUCCGUACCGCCAGUUUGUGUCCUCGUAAACAAGUUGGGAGUUUGCAUCCUGUCCAGCUGACAUAGUUCUUGUUGUAGUCUUGAUAGGUGACCCUGUACACUACAUUGCUUUUGUUGGUUGUUUUACAGGCUACCUUGGUUCUUGGUUCUUGAGGCAAGCUUCCUUAAAGUCAUUGUCGGUUUGUGAAUGAUUUCAAUCCUGCGCGGAUUGAACAGUUGAGCUGUCAUUACUGAGAUAUUCUUGAUGUAGGGAAGGUCGCACGUUUAAAUGCAUGUUGAGUAAGGUCUGUGUGACUUUCUCUCCUUAGUAACCAUCUCCUGAUGAAAUUCCAUGUUAUUAGAGUUUGAACUAAAUUGAAAACCAUGCCUCAUUAUACAUCAAUUUUCCUACAGCAAAGGUACAUGCUACUCUCUCUCAUGGUAUACUUAUUGCAUAAUUCUUUGAAUAAAAUCUAUUCGUGAAAGUAAUUCUAGCUGUUUGCUGCAAAGUGACUUCUUAAUAAAUUUUCCUGACCUAACAGUUCACAAUGUCACAAAUGGACACUAUUUCUUUUCUUUUAAAAAAAAUUGUUUAUAUGUAAUACUAUUUUUAUCUGUUUAGCAACUUCCAACAUCAUUUUCAUACCAAUAAAGAGGUUUGAAAGACAGUUGCUGUUUUCUAUGUAAGAUGCACAACAGUUAAUUUAAACUCCUACACACAGCACUGAGUAAGCUCAAGUAAAGUUGGAAGGUUCAAUUGAAAGAUAAAUAUGAGACCACAGGAAAUGUCCCCUAUUUUCUUCACAAAGUUGCCUUGGGAUAAUUUAAUCUACAUAAGAAGUUCAAUGGAUGAUCUCAGAUUCAGAUUCAGAUUCAGUUUUAUUGUCAUUUAGAAACCACAAGUGCAAUGCAGUUAAAAAACGAGACAAUGUUCCUCCAGAAUGAUAUCACAAAACCACAUGACAAAACAGACUACACCAGAAAAUCCACAUAACGUUUGGCAAUCCCCAAUCCAGAGUCCGGAGAGGCUGCAGCGUAUUAAUAUCGCGCUACCGUCUUAGCGUGUUUCCCAGAACGGAGCUCCAAAUCCACCAGACAAAACAAGACCAAAAACUAAAGCUACAAGACCUGCGCAAAACCACACAGUUACAACAUAUAGUUACAACAGUGCAAACAAUAGCAUAAUUGAUUAAAAAAACAGACCAUGGGCACAGUAAAAAUAGUCCAAAGAUGUUAAAAGACUAUCUAUUUUAUGUUAAAAGAUCUGGAAGACAAUUCAAGUAGUGCAGCACUCCCUCAGUACUACAGUGAAGGAAUCAUCCAAAUUUAAACUUAUCUUUCUUUUGGGUCUCAAACCAAAAUGCAUUAACUUAGUAACUGAUGGUUAAAAUUGCUAUUGUCA